UUAAAUUGACAUCAGUUUUUUUUUAUUGAAUAAUUGUGAAACAAAUUUAACUCCAUAUUUUCUGCUGCAGUGACUCGAUAAUGAUGUCGUGAUACACGAACCACAGCUUCCCUCUGCCGCCACCUAGUGGAUAAAAGCUUGACGUUUUACCGCUUCUACAUUGCAACUCAGUGACGCAUUGGCCAUACCUCGAAACUUCUGAAAUGAGGACCUUUUAACAUCUUUAAAGCAAAAUGAAUAUCUUAUACGAUAUAAAUUAACAUCUUUCUUGAGUAUAAAUCCAGGGCGAAGACCAAAGACUACUUUUCAGCAUUUUACGUUGAAAAAACAGGAAAAUGACAGCACAAAAAAUAACGUGACCUGUGUCAAGGUACAACUCAAACAGUCGCGCGGCGCUUCUUUCUCACACAGUUAACUGCUAGUUUACAAUUUUUAUUUUUUGGCUAAUUAGGUUUUUGCUACAAACGGAACAAAAAAAAAAUAAAUAAAUCAGGACCCUGAAGUUUUCGAGUACCGGGUCCCGCCAUGAACUGUUUGUGAAGUGAUAAAUACGAAGUUCCACAUCUGCCGACUGCUUGCGCUACUUCCAGUGAGCGAUUCUGUGUCUGGAGCCUCUGACUCGUGUAAUAGGAUCCAUCCUACAGACGAUGCUGUAUUUAUCAUCAUUGCUCCUGUUUUGUUCUCAACCAGCUCUGUUGUUUAUUUGACCUUUUGGGAAACAUUUCCAGUUUUUCAGAAUAUACGGAAGACUGAUGUCCCACAGCAAGCAGAGAGCUCGGUGACGGUGGAGGAUGUGGACGCGACUCUCAGGCACAGCAGCGACGGUGGUCCUUGGACAGUAGGACAGCACUGGUGAGUUUGACGUGUUCUUAAUUUAAAUGGUGUGGUGUCUAUGUUAGUUAUGGACACAGCUGUUUUGACCGGCUUCUUAUGUAGCAUUCAAGCGCUAACCUCGUGGUGCAUUAAAGUACACCUCGUACAUUAUAACGUUUUAAAAUAAUUUUGCUUAAAUGAUUUAUUUCACCACAUUGUCAUUUAAAACUUCUUAGCUAACAUGAUUAAUAAUGUUUAUUCUGACCAAAAUUACAAUUACUUCUACAUUGAUUAGUGUUUUAAAAAACCUGAAGAAAUGUUCUUUUAAAUAUGACUAAACGUAGUCUGACAACUUGGGGGCACUCACAAAGCUUUGAAAUCUCUCUUGUAGUAAUUGAACAAGGAAAUGUUGCGGACCUAUUAAUGAUGCUGAAGAACACUGAAUUCCACAGCCUUUUCAGAUUAAGAUUCAUGUGACAUGUUAAUUAUAUAUGGGAAGAUAGAAAACACCAUAACAGCUCAAUGACUGCCAUUUCCUGCAUGUCAUGUCUUUUCCACGUUCCAUCUUAGCAAUAUGUUUCACACAGGAAGAUAAUUGGUGGUGUGCCAUCUGCUACUACAUUUCCCCUGUAAACCUUUUCAGUUUCUGUGUUAAUAGCUGACAUGCUGACAUUUACAAAUAUGUCAAAAGUUGAAACAUUUGUAAAAAAAAAAAAAAAAAAGUGAUCUCAUAAAUUUGAGAUUGGAGUUGUCUUAAAAUGGUAGAAGUCCAUUUUGUGAACUGUUAGACCUAGCGUCCAGCUAAUCUGAAUUUAUACCAAGAUGUGUUGCAGAGGGAGUUAUUGACUCCAGAUAAGAUAUUAACUGCUUCUAAUCUUUUUAACUCAUUUUAACUUUUUAACUUUCCCUUUAAUAACUUGAACACGUUAGCCUAUAUUUUGCUGCUUCUCAAACUCAGAUCCACUAAAUGCAGGAAGAUGAGGAGAAUGUCUGGGCUUUGCUACUUUUGAGCUGCUUAGCAACGGGCGAAAAUAGGGUUUAAAAAAUAGUUGUUGAGCUUUACUCUUUCAUUGCUGAAGUGUGCUGUCAUUGGUCCUUUUGGGCUCAUUAAUUUCAAUGAAUGUUGACUUGGAAUAGAUGAAUUCAUGAACUCAAAUAUUCUGCACAGGUGCAUGCUUAACAUCUGUAAUAUGUGCACAAAAAUGAUAUAUUCUGCAGCAAAUGAUACCCAGACUAGUACAUUCAACCAGCUGCAUGCGGGACUUUUGUCAGAAGAAAUAAAGACAAAGUAAAACAGUACAAAAGCUCAAAUAAAGUCUAAAGAAUGUGCAAUUAAUCUGAUUCAUAUUUUAAUUUAAAUGUUGUACUUUGUACAUAUAUGCUAAAAUUAUUUUUGCCACAUUCUGCUUUGCAGAAUGUUGUUAUAGUGCAAUAAAUCCAAACUCAAUAAGUAAUCAUGUUAAAUAAUCAUAAUUUUUGUUUUCUUUUUCUUUUUUUUUCCAUAAUCGGGCAGUUCUACUACAUCCAUAUUGCAUGCAACACCAGACUACAGCCAACUGUGGUUUAGUUUGAACAACCUUCUGAGCUGUGCAGUCCAAAAAUCCUUAUCUAAAAUCAUGAAGGUGCCCUCCUUAAAUGCAAUUGAUCUUUUUCUCUUUAAGUGAAGUUUGUGAUUAUCACACAUCUUAACUUAGAAAUCACUCUGCGUAGACAUCAGACAAAAAAAAAAGUCAAUUAUAAUGAAAAGGGAAGUUCAAAAGUUUGAGCACAUCCCUUCAUUAUGGAGAAUAACCCAGGAAGUGUAAAUUUGACACAUUUCUGUGAAACUCCAUAAACCUCCUCGAGCAGUCAUUUGAAUAAACAAUUUCCAUAUAAUUAUUCUUAUAUGCAAACGAUCUGUAGAAUAAAUGGGGAAAAACAGGAUAUUGAACAUAAUCAGAAACAGCUGCAGCUCUCUGUAUUUAUACAAAGCACCAUAUGGGGGUUCAGUAAACUUAGACUGCAUGUGAUGCCUUUGUGAAUUUUCUGACAUGACUGAAAAGACAAAACUAUGAUUGCGGUGGCUCCAAUUGUACAUCAUGCAACAUCCACGUAUAUUUUGUCCCGUAUGCCAUUUUUAUCAGCCGGAACACUAACCUCAUAAAUCUUGUUAAUGGUUUUCACCUGUUCUGCAGUUUGGGUCUGUAUUUUUAAUUGUUCUUUACUCUUUUUUUUUACUUUUUUUUUUCCAUAGUUU
This is a long non-coding RNA of Poecilia latipinna (sailfin molly), 3049 nucleotides long. RefSeq lists it as uncharacterized. The record is from RefSeq and is a predicted model, not a curated record. The transcript has 2 exons. Lineage: Eukaryota; Metazoa; Chordata; Actinopteri; Cyprinodontiformes; Poeciliidae.